CACGUAGGGACCAAGCGUUGUCCGGAUUUAUUGGGCGUAAAGAGCUCGUAGGCGGUCGUGUAAGUCGGGUGUGAAAUCUCCAGGCUCAACUUGGAGGGGCCACCCGAUACUGCUCGACUCGAGUCCGGUAGGGGAGUGGGGAAUUCCUGGUGUAGCGGUGAAAUUCGUAGAUAUUAGGAAGAACACCGGUGGCGAAGGCGGCCCACUGGAUCGGUACUGACGCUGAGGUGCGAAAGCGUGGGGAGCAAACAGG
RNAcentral lists this ribosomal RNA (253 nucleotides) under uncultured bacterium. Its description in RNAcentral is "partial 16S ribosomal RNA". It matches the Rfam family "Bacterial small subunit ribosomal RNA", at positions 524 to 776 of the family's 1533-position model. The record is from RNAcentral.